This is a small nucleolar RNA of Neoarius graeffei (lesser salmon catfish), 101 nucleotides long. The record is from RefSeq and is a predicted model, not a curated record. NCBI's taxonomy places the organism in Eukaryota, Metazoa, Chordata, Actinopteri, Siluriformes, Ariidae.
UUCCUAUGAUGAGCUUGCCAUGCUAAUACCGAUGCACCAGGCUGACUGGGUGUACAUGAGUUCAACUCAACUUCUCACACUCCCAGUGUGCUCUGAUGGAA